UACGUAGGGUGCAAGCGUUAAUCGGAAUUACUGGGCGUAAAGCGUGCGCAGGCGGCUUUGCAAGACAGAUGUGAAAUCCCCGGGCUUAACCUGGGAACUGCAUUUGUGACUGCAUGGCUGGAGUGCGGCAGAGGGGGAUGGAAUUCCGCGUGUAGCAGUGAAAUGCGUAGAUAUGCGGAGGAACACCGAUGGCGAAGGCGGCAUCCUGGACCGAGAUUGACGCUGAUGCGCGAAAGCCAGGGGAGCAAACGGG
This 253-nucleotide ribosomal RNA is filed under the name uncultured bacterium. RNAcentral's name for it is "partial 16S ribosomal RNA". It matches the Rfam family "Bacterial small subunit ribosomal RNA", at positions 524 to 776 of the family's 1533-position model. The record is from RNAcentral.